Molecule: ribosomal RNA, 465 nt
Filed under: Vreelandella stevensii
Lineage: Bacteria; Pseudomonadati; Pseudomonadota; Gammaproteobacteria; Oceanospirillales; Halomonadaceae
Description: partial 16S ribosomal RNA
Rfam family: Bacterial small subunit ribosomal RNA
Source: RNAcentral
CCUACGGGUGGCAGCAGUGGGGAAUAUUGGACAAUGGGCGAAAGCCUGAUCCAGCCAUGCCGCGUGUGUGAAGAAGGCCUUCGGGUUGUAAAGCACUUUCAGUGGGGAAGAAAGCCUUGGGGCUAAUACCCUCGAGGAAGGACAUCACCCACAGAAGAAGCACCGGCUAACUCCGUGCCAGCAGCCGCGGUAAUACGGAGGGUGCGAGCGUUAAUCGGAAUUACUGGGCGUAAAGCGCGCGUAGGCGGUGUGAUAAGCCGGUUGUGAAAGCCCCGGGCUCAACCUGGGAACGGCAUCCGGAACUGUCAGGCUAGAGUGCAGGAGAGGAAGGUAGAAUUCCCGGUGUAGCGGUGAAAUGCGUAGAGAUCGGGAGGAAUACCAGUGGCGAAGGCGGCCUUCUGGACUGACACUGACGCUGAGGUGCGAAAGCGUGGGUAGCAAACAGGAUUAGAUACCCCUGUAGUC